AUGCUUUCUGACGAUUCAGUGACAGAAACGAAUCAUUCAGAGAAUCAAGUGUUUUACUGUGAACUCCAUGAGAGGGCAAAGGUCAUCCCAGAGAAUAAAACACUGUGGUACACUUUUGGUGGAGGAACUAAACUGGUGAUCAGAACUGGUCCCGCAGUGAAGCCCUCCGUGUCUCUGCUGCCUCCCUCUUCUCUGCAGAUCUCUGGAGACUCAGCAGCACUGCUCUGCCUGCUCAGCUCUUACUCUCCACAGGGGGCGCAGGUGAGCUGGACGCUGGACGGGUCAGAGGUCAGCGACGGGGUUCAGACCAGCGCAGAGAGCGAGCGGGACGGACUCUACAGCCGCAGCAGCGUCCUGAGCCUCAGCAAAGCACGCUGGGAAAACGCCAAGAGCUUGGUCUGCAGAGUAACACACGAAGGAGGAGAUCAAAAGAGAAAGAGUUCCUCAAGAGCUCCGAGUGCUGAUGUUUCUCCAGUGAAGAGCAGCAGGAUUCACAGCAGAUUUACAGCUCAAUACUCAAGCGCUCUUUCCAUCUGCUGCCGUUGCUGUUCGUUCAAUAAAGCUUCUGAACGCCUUA
Molecule: non-coding RNA, 577 nt
Organism: Puntigrus tetrazona (Sumatra barb)
Lineage: Eukaryota; Metazoa; Chordata; Actinopteri; Cypriniformes; Cyprinidae
Source: the annotation of a RefSeq genome assembly